AUAAUAAUUUGUCUUAUAAUUGAAGUCUGGAAUGAAUGGUUUAAUGAGAAGAGUUCUUUCCCCUUCUUAAAAAUUGAAUUUCAUAGUUAAGUAAAAAAGCUUAAAUAAAUUUUUAAGACGAUAAGACCCUAUAAAGCUUUACUUAUACUUGGUAAAAUAUAAGUAUAUUUAAAUCACUUAAGUUAGGCUGGGGCGGCAAUUUAAUUAAACAUUUUCAGUUAAAACAUAUUGAAUGAAUUUAAAUAAUGAGGAUUUCCUAAUUCUAAAUCAAGUUACUUUAGGGAUAACAGCACAAUUAAUUCUAAGAGUUCUUAUCGAAGAAAAAGAUUGU
This 331-nucleotide ribosomal RNA is filed under the name Helleria brevicornis. Its description in RNAcentral is "partial 16S ribosomal RNA". Lineage: Eukaryota; Metazoa; Arthropoda; Malacostraca; Isopoda; Tylidae. The record is from RNAcentral.